Long non-coding RNA from Rhinolophus ferrumequinum (greater horseshoe bat), 3412 nucleotides. RefSeq lists it as uncharacterized. Lineage: Eukaryota; Metazoa; Chordata; Mammalia; Chiroptera; Rhinolophidae. The record is from RefSeq and is a predicted model, not a curated record. The transcript is spliced from 6 exons.
GAACACACAGGAGGAUGAGAACCCAAGUCUGUGAUUCCCAGGCGAGUCCGCAGAGGAGCCCCCGCCCCCGGGAGCCGCCCGUCUCUGGCCCCAGCCGACUCUGCUCCCAGCCGACUCUGGCCCCCGAUUUCUUGUCCGGACACUGCUUCCCGUUCUUAAAGAGCAAAGCCACUUCCUCUGCACCCAGUUUGCAGGCGGACUUUGUCCUGUGACUCGUUCGCUUCAGUAGCUGCGCUGUGACUGGAAUUCCUUACUGCUGCCACUGCGCUCCCAGGGGCACACACUAUACAGAUUCAGGGCUACAUUUUUUCAGAGCGAGCUUCUGAAGGGGAAGUUCAAGAAUCACUAUAUCAGAGGAGGACCAGUUGGCAUGAUGUCAACUCAGGCUUAACAGUCAGGCUUCAAGAUCAAACACAAAAGCCUGGGAGACCGCGGGAUGCAAUCCAUUCACACUGAGCCUGUUCCUCUCUCCCACGCCCACCGCCGCCCCCCAGCUCCUGGCCACCUGGCGUCUGGCCAUCCAUGCGGCUGACCCGAAGCUUGGGGGAUGGGCUUAUUUGCCCACGGGGGUUUCAUUCUGUGUUCCCAGGGGUGACAGGUCAUUUGGGAAGUAGAGAAGCCCAUCCGCCGGGACCUCCGCGGAGGCAGGGAAUGGAGGGUCUGAGAAAAGGUAAGGGACACCUAGUAAGACUUGGCCAGCAGCACAUUUGAAUAAAAAGCAAACACACCGACCCAUCUGCGCUCCAGUUCCCUUUUCACUCACUGCCCACAGCACCCUCGCUUUCGGAUUUGAACUUCAGCAGCACACGAUCCCCCCACUACUUGCCCAUGUUUCUCUUAGUGUCUCUUCUUCAACCCCACGCCAGUAAUUUCGUGCUCCCCUUCAUAUUUCCUACCACCACACCCAGUCAAUUUUCUCUGCUACUUCCUUCCUCUUGAUAGUCAGAGGAUGGAUUCCUGGCUGUGCCACACCCCUCCCCUGCCAGCUGGGCCCUGGAGGCUGGUGCACAGCUCCCGGCACACGCAUGCACGAGCACGCACAUGCGUGCACGAGCACUCACACGCAUGCAGGACUCAGUGAAGUAAGAGAACCAAGACGAGGCGCUUGGAGCAGGGCCUGCAGCAGGAGCCCCAACACCAGGCCGGGGGGGUGGAAGGUCUCCUCAGCAGACCUCAGUCUCCCCCACAGACAGGUGAGCUGGGCCCAGGACCCUAAGAGGACACUCGGCUUCAACCAGAACUUAGAUCAAUGAAGCCCCGAGCUGAACUCCAGGAAAUAAGAGCAGUAAAAUGUUCGAAUCGGGAGCUGGAGAGGCCUCGUAAACGGGGCUCCUGGCUCUGCAGGGUCUUGGGGGGCCCUCAGAGGGGCGCUCUCCCCUCCAGCCCCCACAGCAGCUGGCCCGCCACGCACGCUGUAUCCGCAGGUCCUGUAGAAGAGUGUUUUGUUCGAUUGCUAAACCAUUUCAAAGUACAAACAAAAAUGAACUCUAUACAGCUGCUUUGGAAACACAGCUUGGCCAUUUCUUUUAAAACGAAAUAUGCAACUGCUACAAGACCCAGAAACUGUACUGCUGGGCACUUAUCCCACAGAAAUGAAACGACGUUCACACCAAAAGCCGCCCGCCAACGCUCCGGACGACCUCGUGUGUAACAACAGCCCGAAACCCGGUGUCCUCCUGCAGGUGGAGGUGCUCACGGAGGCCGAGAAUUGAGAGGACGGGAGCACUCUAUCCUCAGGUGAACUCCGAGUCAGCAGAAACAGGUCCUGAGCUCAGGCCCAGGGCUCCCUGACCGUCCCAGCUAAGCUGACAGCCACCCUGUCAUGGCCCCCAUUUCUUUCCUGCCACUCAUCGCAAUCGGCCAGCACCCAGCACAUGCCAGCUACUCAGGAAGAUCUGCUGAAUGCAGGAGACCCUCCCUACCCCCAAAAAGGCCAGGUCUGGCAAAUACGGUGGGUAACAAAAUGUGGAGGGAAAGAGAGCUGUGUAUGCCAAACAAUUAAUGCUCCAAAUCCUUUCCCCAACACACGGGCUCCCUUAAUAAAGUCCUUUGAGACUGAGUUGGGGGAAGCGGGUGUCUCACGCUGGAUCCAAGGGUAAGGCCCAAAGCCAGGUUUCCCCAAAAGUCUUAAGCGAAGGCAGCAGCUCAGCACAGGUCUCCCGAGGUGACCACUGGGAAGGCGCCGGCACCCAAUGACAGGCGCAGGGCCAGCCUGCUAAGUGUCACUGUACAGCAGGAUCACCUGUUCAAUUCCCAGGGCCCAGACCGGCCCCACCUCAGCCAGAUGCCGGACGGGUCCAGGUUAGAAAGUCCUACGAGAGGGUAACACAGGAAGCACAGGCUGUAAUGGAAAGACAUUUAGCUCGUCUGCACGGGAUGCAUCCAGCAGGGGCGAAGUCGCCGGCCAGCAAGAGGCCAAGGGAGGCGCCAGCCGACGACGGGCACACCUCUGAUGCUGCAUUGGAUACCAACGAGACUUUCCUCUCAAUAUCCUUCGCCUUCAGGCUGAGGAAAAUGGGGAGGAAACAGCCAGGCUUCUUCUGUCAUUUGCACCGCGAAGGUGAGCUGGAGGGACAGAACUGGGGCCUCCAUGGCAACAGGCACCCCGCACCCGGCCAGGCCCAAGGGGCAGCCACUCUGGGCGACACAGCCCGACUCUCCACCUCCUCUCAGACCAACUCCAGCUCGACGCCUGCGACAAAUCUGUCCAGUGAAUCUGAGAGGCCACCGUAUUUUAAGAGCCAUGGGCCAGAGCCAACAUACCUGAAAUAGAAAAUAGAGGCGCUAGGGAAAUAAGCUGCCUUUGUUUUAAAAAAGGAAACAAGGUAUUUUAUAUACACUUGUCCAGACAGAAAUGUGAGGCUCCCUUUAUCUCUCGGGGUGCUCACGUCAAUAUAUGACGUUCUCAUAGAAUGCACGUUCUUCCUCAAAUGCACCUGUCGUUCCUUAUUUCCUUAUUUGGGUUGGGGGAGUGUGGGAGAAAAUAAAGUGGGUAAAAAAGGAAAACAGGUGUAAACUCCCCUCCGAGCAACACACCCAAGGGUUACAAAUGAAAGAAAGACACUUGGGGACUGGACGGGACGCUGCCUGUGCACACCGGCCAGUGGUGGCUCGGAAGCGGGGGUUUUCCAAACCAGAUCCUUCUACAACAUGCAAUGCUGACUCGAGCUGGCUGCUCUGGCUCCUUCUCCUGUAAUUAGACCUGCUCCUUCCUAAACACUGGCCGGCAAAUCUGCCCACGUUUCCAAGCUAAACCUUUCUAUGGAAAAAAGAGCGGUCCCUUACUCCCCCUUUACACUGUAAUAUAACCCUUAUCACAGUAAAGUAAAUGACAUUAUUGAAUUGUGUUCAUGAAUUUCAACAAAUAAACGGGAAAUCUUGAUAGUGCUGGAAAUCCUUUAAACACUCAAAA